AAGAGCUUUCUGUGAAGCCGGGCUGUAAGGCAUCCGGUGGAGAGAUCAGAAGCGAGAAUGUUGACAUGAGUAGCGACAAACAGGGUGAGAAACCCUGUCGCCGAAAGUCUAAGGGUUCCUGCUUAAAGCUAAUCUGAGCAGGGUAAGCCGGCCCCUAAGGCGAGGCCGAAAGGCGUAGUCGAUGGGAACCAGGUUAAUAUUCCUGGGCCAGUGGGAUGUGACGGAUCGCAGAUGUAGUUUGCCCUUAUCGGAUUGGGUGGGCUGCUGAGCGGUUCCUGGAAAUAGCCCCACAUCAGACCGUACCCUAAACCGACACAGGUGGACUGGUAGAGUAUACCAAGGCGCUUGAGAGAACCACGUUAAAAGGAACUCGGCAAAAUGCCUCCGUAAGUUCGCGAGAAGGAGGCCCCGUCUGUAGGCAACUAUGGGCGGGGGGCACAAACUAGGGGGUGGCGACUGUUUACUUAAAACACAGGGCUGUACGAAGCCGUAAGGCGACGUAUACAGUCUGACGCCUGCCCGGUGCUGGAAGAUUAAGAGGAGGGGUGCAAGCUCUGAAUUGAAGUCCCAGUAAACGGCGGCCGUAACUAUAACGGUCCUAAGGUAGCGAAAUUCCUUGUCGGGUAAGUUCCGACCUGCACGAAUGGCGUAACGAUCUCCCCGCUGUCUCUAACGUGGACUCAGCGAAAUUGAACUGUGUGUCAAGAUGCACACUACCCGCGGUUAGACGGAAAGACCCCAUGAACCUUUACUCCAGCUUUGCACUGGUAUCAGGAUUGUGAUGUGCAGGAUAGGUGGUAGGCAUUGAAUCGGGGACGCCAGUCUUCGUGGAGCCUCCCUUGAGAUACCACCCUUCGCCAUCUUGAUAUCUAACCGCGGCCCGUUAUCCGGGUCCGGGACCCUGCAUGGUGGGGAGUUUGACUGGGGCGGUCGCCUCCCAAACAGUAACGGAGGCGCGCGAUGGUUGGCUCAGACCGGUCGGAAAUCGGUCGUUGAGUGCAAUGGCAGAAGCCAGCCUGACUGCAAGACUGACAAGUCGAGCAGAGACGAAAGUCGGUCAUAGUGAUCCGGUGGUCCCAAGUGGGAGGGCCAUCGCUCAACGGAUAAAAGGUACUCUGGGGAUAACAGGCUGAUGAUGCCCAAGAGUCCAUAUCGACGGCAUCGUUUGGCACCUCGAUGUCGGCUCAUCUCAUCCUGGGGCUGGAGCAGGUCCCAAGGGUAUGGCUGUUCGCCAUUUAAAGAGGUACGUGAGCUGGGUUUAGAACGUCGUGAGACAGUUCGGUCCCUAUCUGCCGUGGGUGCAGGAGACUUGAGAAGAGUUGACCCUAGUACGAGAGGACCGGGUUGAACGAACCACUGGUGGACCAGUUAUCGUGCCAACGGUAGUGCUGGGUAGCUAUGUUCGGACAGGAUAACCGCUGGAGGCAUCUAAGCGGGAAGCCCCCUUCAAAACAAGGUCUCCCUUGAGGGCCGUGGAAGACGACCACGUCGAUAGGCCAGAGGUGUAAGUGCAGCAAUGCAUUCAGCUGACUGGUACUAAUUGCCC
Molecule: ribosomal RNA, 1546 nt
Filed under: metagenome
Description: bacterial LSU rRNA
Rfam family: Bacterial large subunit ribosomal RNA
Source: RNAcentral